GUAUAGGUAAAUACCAUGAAACUAUGAGAUCGCGAACGGCUCAUUAAAUCAGCUAUGGUUCUUUAGAACAUAUAAACUACAUGGAUGACUGUAGUAAUUCUAUUGCUAAUACAUACUAUUAUGGCCUAACCCACGGGGGAAUGGAUGUAUUUACUAGAACAGAACCAACUAGGGGGAGUUUUCGUUGUCUGUGUUGAAUUCUUUGGUGACUCUGGAUAAAUUUCAUGAUCUCAGCGGGCCUUGUAUUGGCGAUGGAUCUUACUGCAGUUUAAAAAAAG
This 278-nucleotide non-coding RNA is filed under the name Trichobilharzia regenti. RNAcentral describes it as "Eukaryotic small subunit ribosomal RNA". It matches the Rfam family "Eukaryotic small subunit ribosomal RNA", at positions 57 to 316 of the family's 1831-position model. Lineage: Eukaryota; Metazoa; Platyhelminthes; Trematoda; Strigeidida; Schistosomatidae. The record is from Rfam by way of RNAcentral.